Molecule: long non-coding RNA, 714 nt
Filed under: Homo sapiens (human)
Lineage: Eukaryota; Metazoa; Chordata; Mammalia; Primates; Hominidae
Description: non-protein coding lnc-UBC-3:1
Rfam family: tRNA (bases 478-550)
Source: RNAcentral
GCUGCUUGCGGAGCUGCGCCCAGGGGAUGACCUUUUUCCUUUGCGCGGAGAAGGGGGCUUGAGAAACCCGAGCUCUGAACCAGGUGGGAUUCAUUCAUUCACGCAUGCAUUCAUUCAUGUAGUCAGUCAGUCAAUCAGUCAACAAAUAUUUGUCAAGGCCCCACAAUGUGCUAGGCACUGUUCUAGGUACUGAGGGACACAGCGGUGCCCGAGGUAGACAAGGUUCCUGCUCCUCUUGUGUUUGUCAUGCUUGCUGGGGAGACGGACAAGGAAAAUGAUAAAGUUAACAGUAAAUAGUAAAGGCUGGGCCAUGGCGGGAGAUGUGAUCAGAGAAGGCUUCUCAGAGGUCGUGGCCUUGACAGACGAACAGGCCACCGCACGCAGUCCCUGCUGAACCUGCAUUCCCAGCGUCUGUGUCAAAGACCCGGGGCGGCAAAACGACCAGGAGGAUAAAAGAGCAUCGCAGUCGUAACGGCUGCCGAAAUAGCUCAGUUGGGAGAGCGUUAGACUGAAGAUCUAAAGGUCCCUGGUUCGAUCCCGGGUUUCGGCACUUCCUCUUUUUCCUUCCCCCCGGGGGAAAAAGGAGGUGCAUAGACGAAGCCGAUUCCUUCCAAUUGAUCAAAGGCUUUUACUUUCUAUAUUUAACAAAGCCCCGAGCAGUGUCCGCGAGGAGCCAGAGGGAAAGGAAACUCCCCCUCCACUCCCCGUUUGGGU